Molecule: ribosomal RNA, 253 nt
Filed under: uncultured microorganism
Description: partial small subunit ribosomal RNA
Rfam family: Bacterial small subunit ribosomal RNA
Source: RNAcentral
GACGAACCGUGCGAACGUUAUUCGGAUUCACUGGGCUUAAAGGGCGCGUAGGCGGGUCAGCAAGUCCGGGGUGAAAUCUUUCGGCUCAACCGGAAAAGGGCCUUGGAUACUGCUGAUCUUGAGGGAGGUAGGGGCAUGUGGAACUUCCGGUGGAGCGGUGAAAUGCGUUGAUAUCGGAAGGAACGCCGGUGGCGAAAGCGACGUGCUGGCCCUCUUCUGACGCUGAGGCGCGAAAGCCAGGGGAGCAAACGGG